GACGACGCUGGCGGCGUGCCUAAUACAUGCAAGUCGAGCGGGGAUUAUGCUUGAUCGCUUCGGUGAGACGGCAUAUAUCCUAGCGGCGGACGGGUGAGUAACGCGUGGGUAAUCUACCUCGUAGUUCGGGAUAACAGGCCGAAAGGCUUGCUAAUACCGGAUGAGUUCAUGCUUAUGCAUAUAGGCAUGAAGAAAGGGCUAGCCCGCUAUGAGAUGAGCCCGCGUCCCAUUAGCUUGUUGGUGGGGUAAUGGCCUACCAAGGCAACGAUGGGUAGCCGGCCUGAGAGGGUGUACGGCCACACUGGGACUGAGACACGGCCCAGACUCCUACGGGGGGCAGCAGUAGGGAAUUUUCGGCAAUGGGCGAAAGCCUGACCGAGCGACGCCGCGUGAGGGACGAAGGCCUUCGGGUUGUAAACCUCUGUCUGGGGGGGAUGAGAACGGACGGUACCCCCGGAGGAAGCCCCGGCUAACUACGUG
Molecule: ribosomal RNA, 480 nt
Filed under: uncultured bacterium
Lineage: Bacteria
Description: bacterial SSU rRNA
Rfam family: Bacterial small subunit ribosomal RNA
Source: RNAcentral